CCUGCGGAGGGAUCAUUACAGAGUUCUAAAAGACUCCCAAAACCAUUGUGAACGUACCCGUCAGCGUUGCCUCGGCGGGCGGCCCCUCCCUGGGGCCGCUGCCUCCCUCGGGGGGUGCCCGCCGGCGUACCAAAACUCUUUUGUAUUUUAGUGGCCUCUCUGAGAAAACAAGCAAAUAAGUUAAAACUUUCAACAACGGAUCUCUUGGUUCUGGCAUCGAUGAAGAACGCAGCGAAAUGCGAUAAGUAAUGUGAAUUGCAGAAUUCAGUGAAUCAUCGAAUCUUUGAACGCACAUUGCGCCCGCCAGUACUCUGGCGGGCAUGCCUGUUCGAGCGUCAUUUCAACCCUCAAGCCCUGCUUGGUGUUGGGGUCCUACGGCUGCCGUAGGCCCUGAAAGCUAGUGGCGGGCUCGCUAUAACUCCGAGCGUAGUAGUAAAAUAUCUCGCUAGGGAGGUGUCGCGGGUUCCGGCCGUGAAAGCCCAUCUUUUACACAAGGUUGACCUCGGAUCAGGUAGGAAUACCCGCUGAACUUAAGCAUAUCAAUAAGGCGGAGGAA
RNAcentral lists this ribosomal RNA (556 nucleotides) under Coniochaeta sp. ZLY-2010b. RNAcentral's name for it is "eukaryotic LSU rRNA". The stretch from base 185 to 338 matches the Rfam family "5.8S ribosomal RNA". Lineage: Eukaryota; Fungi; Ascomycota; Sordariomycetes; Coniochaetales; Coniochaetaceae. The record is from RNAcentral.